UGCAAGUCGAACGCGUCUCCGUUAAUGAUUUUAGGUGCUUGCACUUGAAAGAUUUAACAUUGAGACGAGUGGCGAACUGGUGAGUAACACGUGGGUAACCUGCCCUUGAAGUAGGGGAUAACACUUGGAAACAGGUGCUAAUACCGUAUAACAACCAAAACCACCUGGUUUUGGUUUAAAAGACGGCUUCGGCUGUCACUUUAGGAUGGACCCGCGGCGUAUUAGCUUGUUGGUAAGGUAACGGCCUACCAAGGCGAUGAUACGUAGCCGACCUGAGAGGGUAAUCGGCCACAUUGGGACUGAGACACGGCCCAAACUCCUACGGGAGGCAGCAGUAGGGAAUCUUCCACAAUGGACGAAAGUCUGAUGGAGCAACGCCGCGUGAGUGAUGAAGGGUUUCGGCUCGUAAAACUCUGUUGUUGGAGAAGAACAGGUGUCAGAGUAACUGUUGACAUCUUGACGGUAUCCAACCAGAAAGCCACGGCUAACUACGUGCCAGCAGCCGCGGUAAUACGUAGGUGGCAAGCGUUGUCCGGAUUUAUUGGGCGUAAAGCGAGCGCAGGCGGUUUUUUAGGUCUGAUGUGAAAGCCUUCGGCUUAACCGGAGAAGUGCAUCGGAAACCGGGAGACUUGAGUGCAGAAGAGGACAGUGGAACUCCAUGUGUAGCGGUGAAAUGCGUAGAUAUAUGGAAGAACACCAGUGGCGAAGGCGGCUGUCUGGUCUGUAACUGACGCUGAG
This 738-nucleotide ribosomal RNA is filed under the name Lentilactobacillus buchneri. RNAcentral describes it as "bacterial SSU rRNA". It matches the Rfam family "Bacterial small subunit ribosomal RNA", at positions 56 to 750 of the family's 1533-position model. Lineage: Bacteria; Bacillati; Bacillota; Bacilli; Lactobacillales; Lactobacillaceae. The record is from RNAcentral.